GAGGAUGAGACAUCAGGAAUAGUCGGGAUAGCUCAUUUGGUAGAGCAGAGGACUGAAAAUCCUCGUGUCACCGGUUCAAAUCCGGUUCCUGACAC
RNAcentral lists this transfer RNA (95 nucleotides) under Helianthus annuus (common sunflower). Its description in RNAcentral is "hypothetical non coding rna". The stretch from base 22 to 94 matches the Rfam family "tRNA". Rfam says of the family: Transfer RNA (tRNA) molecules are approximately 80 nucleotides in length. Their secondary structure includes four short double-helical elements and three loops (D, anti-codon, and T loops). The record is from RNAcentral. Lineage: Eukaryota; Viridiplantae; Streptophyta; Magnoliopsida; Asterales; Asteraceae.